RNAcentral lists this transfer RNA (67 nucleotides) under Selenophorus alternans. RNAcentral's name for it is "tRNA-His". Lineage: Eukaryota; Metazoa; Arthropoda; Insecta; Coleoptera; Carabidae. The record is from RNAcentral.
AUUUAAGUAAUUUAAAAAAAAAAUUUUGAUUUGUGGUGUCAAAUAUGUAAGUUAUUUACCUUAAAUU